This 249-nucleotide ribosomal RNA is filed under the name Escherichia coli. RNAcentral's name for it is "partial 23S ribosomal RNA". It matches the Rfam family "Bacterial large subunit ribosomal RNA", at positions 2693 to 2925 of the family's 2925-position model. The record is from RNAcentral. Lineage: Bacteria; Pseudomonadati; Pseudomonadota; Gammaproteobacteria; Enterobacterales; Enterobacteriaceae.
CGGAGUGGACGCAUCACUGGUGUUCGGGUUGUCAUGCCAAUGGCACUGCCCGGUAGCUAAAUGCGGAAGAGAUAAGUGCUGAAAGCAUCUAAGCACGAAACUUGCCCCGAGAUGAGUUCUCCCUGACCCUUUAAGGGUCCUGAAGGAACGUUGAAGACGACGACGUUGAUAGGCCGGGUGUGUAAGCGCAGCGAUGCGUUGAGCUAACCGGUACUAAUGAACCGUGAGGCUUAACCUUACAACCCGAAG